CGUCUGUCAUUGCCCGCAGGGUCGCGACGGGUUCGAAAUCCGUCUACGCGACUCGAUGCGGCGCGCGGUCCGGGGCCGCGGGAAGGCGG
RNAcentral lists this transfer RNA (89 nucleotides) under Dactylosporangium siamense. Its description in RNAcentral is "tRNA-Ser". The record is from RNAcentral. Lineage: Bacteria; Bacillati; Actinomycetota; Actinomycetes; Micromonosporales; Micromonosporaceae.